This is a non-coding RNA of Callithrix jacchus (white-tufted-ear marmoset), 5382 nucleotides long. The record is from RefSeq and is a predicted model, not a curated record. Lineage: Eukaryota; Metazoa; Chordata; Mammalia; Primates; Cebidae.
UUCCCCAUGUUGGCCAGGCUGGUCUUGAACUCCUAACCUCAAGGGAUCCAUCCACCUCAGCCUCCCAAAGUGCUGGGAUUACAGGCGGGAGCCACCGCACUGGCCGCACCUGCUUUGGUAUUUGUUCUUCCUAGUGCUCUCACCUGAUGUGCUGUCUGUGUUAAUGGUUUGUUCAUGGAUCGCCUGUCUCUUUCCCCCUCUUUAGAAUGAUGGAUCCAUUAAGAGAGCAGCAGCUUUGUUUUGCUCAUUGCUCUUUGCCCAGAGCCUGGAACCACACCGGAUAUAUGAUAACCAGGCAGUAGUUAUUUGUGGAAUAAAUGAAUGUAAGAAUGAAUGAAAGGCCAGGUGCUGUGACUCAUGCCUGUAAUCCCAGCACUUUGGGAGGCCAAGGUAGGUGGAUUGCUUGAGGUCAGGAGUUUGAGACCUGCCUGGACAACAUGGUGAAACUCCAUCUCUACUAAAAAUACAAAAGUUAGCUAGGAAUGGUGGUGCACGCCUGUAAUUCCAGCUACUCGGGAGGCUGAGGCAGGAGAAUUGCCUGCACCCAGGAGGUAGAGGUUGCAGUGAGUCGAGAUUGUGCCACUGCACUCUAGCCCGGCAAAAAGGGAGAGACUGUCUUAGAAAUAAAAAUAAUUUAAAAAAAGAAUGAAAGACAAGAAGGCCUCGAUAGAAGGAAUAAGUUACAGUAAUCAAUAAUGUCCAAGGGAAAUUACAGUGAAUGAGGAUUUUUGUGUUCCCCUCCCCCCCAAAAAAGAUAAAUAUUUGAGGUGAUGACUGUGAGUUCCCCGGAUUUGAUCGUUACAUACUGUCUACAGCUGGGGUCCCCAAUCCUCCCGGCCAUGCAUCACUACCAGUCUGUAGCCUGUUUCUGUUCUUGUUUGAGACAGAGUCUCACUCUGUGCAAUGGUGCAAUCUCGGGUCAAUGUAACCUCCACCUCCAAGGUUCAAGUAAUUCUCUCCCUCAGCCCCCUGAGUAGCUGGGAUUACAGGCAUGUACCACCACACCUGGAUAAUUUUUGUAUUUGUAGUAGAGACACGGUUUCACCAUGCUGGCCAGGCUGGUCCUGAACUCCUUAUUUCAGGCGAUUCACCCUCCUCAUUCUCCCAAAGUGCUGGGAUUGCAAGUGUGAGCCAUCACACCCGGCCUUUUUUUUUUUUUUGACACAGAGUUUGCUCUUGUUGCCCAGGCUGGAAUGCAAUGGCGUGAUCUUGGCUGACUGCAGCCUCCAUCUCCCAGAUUCAAGUGACUUUCCCACCUCAGACUCCCAAGUAGCUGGGAUUACAGUGUCUUCUCAGAGAGGCCUGGAGUGGAGCAUCUGAAGCCAGGCUGGAUGUCUUGCUGCGUGUUACGGUUUGGGAGACAAAUUCUGUGCCCACCCUGUUCACGUGCACCCCGAGGAAGCUCUGACACCACCGUGCAGCCUCUGAUGCACACAGAGAAAGCCGGCGCUAGGAUGUGCCCGUCAGCAGGAAAAGCAUGGCUGGAAAGGAAGGAGGUGGCAGCCACCCUGGGUGCUGAACUCUUCGUGCCAGGGCUGGAGGGGCUGCGUUCCCUUGGCCUGCUGCAGCAGCAGGGCCGGCUCUGGACCAACUCCCUGAGGAUCCAGUACAGCCUCCGGGCUCAGGCAAAGCAGCCAGCGCACCAGUGCAGCACCAGCCAGAGGCUGCAGACAGAGUGGCUCAGAUGGUGACUACAGGCUGGAGUUGGGCCACGAGCUCCACUGCACACAGAUCCCAGCCUUCAGCCACAAGGUGGGUGCCCAGGCCAGAGAGAGCACCAGAGUCGGGAAAGUGGUGAUCUGAGUACCCUGAGCUCAUCCCCAAAGAGAUGAACUUGGUCCCAAUAGCCUCAGUCUUAUGUCUAUUCAUCCAAGGUUGCUUGAGGCCAGGAGGCAGAGGUUGUUGCAAUGAGCCAAGAUGGUGCCACUGUACUCCAGCCUGGGCAACAGAGUGACAUCUUAUCUCUAAAAUAAACAAUAAAUUAAAAAACAAAAAACACAAGGCCAGGUGCAGUGGUUCAUGCUUGUAACUCCAGCACUUUGGGAGGCUGAGGCAAGCAGAUCAUGAGGUAAGGAGUUCAAGACCAGCCUGGCCAGGGUGGUAAAACCCCAUCUCUACUAACAAUACAAAAAUUAGCCAGGCAUAGUGGCAGGUGCCUGUAAUACCAGUUUCUCUGGAGGCUGAGGCAGGAGAAUCGCUUGAACUGGAGGCGAGCUAUGGGAAGCCCUGGGAUGAGAGCAGCAACAAGAGGCAUCUCCAUGUCAGCCAGACCUUCAAGAACGACUCAGGGCCCACCCUGAGCAAUCACUUCCUGGAGUCCUGCAAAUGGUGUUGGUUUAUUUUUUUGAGAUGGAGUCUCGCUCUGUCACCAGGCUGGAGCACAGUGGCACGAUCUCGGCUCACUGCAACGUCUGCCUCCGGUAUUCAAGCAAUUCUCCUGCCUCAGCCUCCCAAGUAGCUGGGACUACAGGCCGUGCAGAAGCCAACCACAGGCUGCGUGUGGCCCACUGCUCAUCAUUUACUACCACUGAGCCACACAUUAGGUGGCAAAUGCUAGAGAAAGAACAUUGGUGAGAUGCUGCAGAAUAGGACUAAACCUGGAUCAUGAAGAAAAGGCUCCAUGUAAUACAAGUUCCUGCUGCCUUUUGGUCAGAAUUUAGGCUGAGGAAGGGAAGAGCUCCCAGGCUGGGGCUUUGGCUUGGUUGAAGAAUCACCUGCCUGGUAAUUCACCUACCUGGUGAGUAUGAUCCGAUGGGGGUGCCAAAAAAUGGAUUCAACUGGCAACGAGGUGUUGAAGCAGGUUCCUGCCAGCUGCAGGGUUUCUGGGCUCCCUAGAAGGUAAGUGAGGCUACCAGCCCCUCCCCCUCACCGGCCCAUUUACAGGAUAUGCAGUGUUCCUCUUCCCACUCCACCCCCAUGUGAGCUGAGAUCUCCCUCAUCAUUCAGAUCUCACAGGCUUGACCCUACUCUGCAUAUUGAGAAAGUUCCAGUCCUCUCAACUGUAGAAAUUUCCUAGCCUGUCGGUCAGGCACACGGGCUCAUGCCUGUAAUCUCAGCACUUUGGGCAGAUCGCUUGAGGUUGGGAGUUUGAGACCAGCCUGGCCAACAUGGUGAAACCCUGACUCUACUAAAAAUUCAAAAAUUAGCCGGGCAUGGCAGCGAGUGCCUGUAGUUUCAGCUACUCUGGAAGCUGAGACAGCAGACUCACUUAAACCCAGGAGGCAGAGGUCACAGUGUCAAGAUAGUACCAUUAUACUCAAGCCUGGGAGAUAGAAUGAGAUUCUGUCUCAAAAAACACAGCAAUUCCCUACACCUUCCAGCUCCUGUCCUUGGCAUCCCCACACACAGGCCCCAUGCUGCCCAAGACCCAGGGGGCAGAUCAGACAUCACAUCAGACAUCUGUGUCCUCAAAAUAGGGCAGCUUGUUUCUGCCCAGGCCUCGCCCCCCACCUCCACUGUCAUGUGGGCCUCUGUGCUCCUCCAUUAUUAUGGGAUUUCCUAAAACAAGGACAGCCGCCCCCCCCCCCCCCCAAGAGGCACCUUAAUGCUCUCCAUGGCAGAGCUCUUCCUGUGGACCUGUGAGCUCCCGCUCUGCAGCCAAAGGAAGCAAGCCUCAGCCAGGCAUGGUGACUUGUCCUGUGCGUUCCCUCUAGGAACUACUCAGUGGUGGUGACAUUGCCACUGCUGCCUCAGGGGGAUGAGCCCCUGCACAUGGCCUGGGUGACCAGCUACCUGGUGGAGGAGAAGCUGCUGCGGCUGCUCUGAGUUUUCCAGGGCCAACUUGCUGGCCGAGUUCUACUGGCUCAGAUGCCACCUGCUGCAGGGUCUCUGGGAGUGUGGGUCCUGCCCCAGGCUGUGCUGCCCUCCUCCCUAGAAGCCCCCUGCCCUGUGGGCACAGCAGCGGGGGCACAGGGAAGCCUGCAGAGGCUCAUGGCAUCACAGUGCCAGGCCCAGAGCUUACUGGACUUCCCAAGGUCCUAUGGGACUAGGGCUGAGGCUGCACAUCCUGUUUUUCUCCAGAAUAUAAAGCCUGGCCCAGCAGUGCAGCCAAGGGCAGUACUGGGAUGACUGGCUCUGGGCACCUGGGGAGCUUGUGUGUGGCUCAGGUGAGUCUCCUAACCUCUGUGGACUCAGCUUCCUCCACUGUGAAAGGCAGGUAACCACGUGGCUCACUCGUAUGGGUAAGGGGCAUGUAUUGUUCUUAAUGCACGAGAGAGUGCAUUAAGCGCCACCAUGUGGGUGGGUGGAGCUGGCUCCAUUCACCCUGCCUUUGGGGCUGCUUCUCCCCAGACCAUGCCCUGGUGACCGGGUCCCAGCACAUGGCGACUUUCAACGGCUGGGGGUGGGACCUCAGCGCCUAGUGCGGCAGCAUCCUGCUGUCCUGAGACUGCUCACAACACAUUCUCCCUGAUGCUGAGUCUGACAGGUUUGGGGCUCACAGUCCUGACUGUGGAGCUCAUCCACGUGACCCUCAUCUUCUACUCCAGCCUGCAGGUGACCAGGAGAGGCUUCCCCUGGAGACCUGUGCCUGUGACAGGCUGCCUGGGGUGAUGGCUUUUUCUUUCAAGCUUUUCCCCUGGCUGUGGGUCAGCCCUCCUGCCCACCUGCUCUGGCCUACAGGCUGUACAACUCCCUGCCAGGGAAGAGCUGUCCAGACCUCCAGCUGCCUCCUGCCAUGACAAGGAGGGACGUCCCCAGGAUUGAGCUGGCCAGUAAGAAUGGGGUCUCCAUCUCCUGUGAUGUGCCCACCAGUCUCUGUUGCCUGACUCUGGGCCACUGGCACCAUGGCAUAUCUGCUGGCCUUCUGGGCACCAAUGACAAUGAAGCAGGCAAUAAGCUGAUGUUGCCGGAUGGCUCUGUGGCCUGCAGCCUGGAGGAGCUCAGCCUGACCUGGCAGGUGGAUGGGUGACUGCAGGGCCACCGAGAAGACUCAGCAGGCCUGCACAGGACAGAGCCCUGCCUACCUGACCUUCUUCCAGGACCCCCGCUCCAGCUUGGGGAAUUUCUGGGUGGGGCAGAAUAUCUGCAAGGGAGACCACAUUUUUGAUUUCUGAAAGACUCAAUUAGGAGGAUGGAAAGAUAAACUACAGAUUGGGAAAAACGUUUACAAACCACCUAUCAGACCAAGGACUCAAAGCUCAAAAGUAGGCCAGGUGCAGUGACUCACGCCUGUAUUCCUAGCACUUUGGGAGGCUGAGGUGAGAUGGCUUGAACCUGGGAGGUCAAGGCUGCAGUGAGCCAUGACUACACUCCUGGCUGCAUGACAGGGUGGGACCUCAUCCCACAAAACAAAACCUUCAAAGUUAAAAAUGGGAAAUAAAUGCAUGACCAAUGUUUGCACUCCCAGCCACAGAGAAACAAGGUAGUGUUACACACCUGAGC